Molecule: ribosomal RNA, 429 nt
Filed under: Bacteroidota bacterium
Lineage: Bacteria; Pseudomonadati; Bacteroidota
Description: Bacteroidetes bacterium partial 16S ribosomal RNA
Rfam family: Bacterial small subunit ribosomal RNA
Source: RNAcentral
UAGGGAAUCUUCGGCAAUGGGGGGAACCCUGACCGAGCAACGCCGCGUGAGUGAAGAAGGUUUUCGGAUCGUAAAGCUCUGUUGUUAAGGAAGAACGAGUGUGAGAAUGGAAAGUUCAUACUGUGACGGUACUUAACCAGAAAGGGACGGCUAACUACGUGCCAGCAGCCGCGGUAAUACGUAGGUUCCGCGCGUUGUCCGGAUUUAUUGGGCGUAAAGCGAGUGCAGGCGGUUAGAUAAGUCUGAAGUUAAAGGCAGUGGCUCAACCAUUGUCGGCUUUGGAACCUGUUUAACUUGAGUGCAGAAGGGGAGUGUGGAAUUCCAUGUGUAGCGGUGAUAUGCGUAGAUAUAUGGAGGAACGCCGGUGGCGAAAGCGGCUCUCUGGUCUGUAACUGACGCUGAGGCUCGAAAGCGUGGGGAGCGAACAGG